Molecule: ribosomal RNA, 495 nt
Filed under: uncultured bacterium
Lineage: Bacteria
Description: partial 16S ribosomal RNA
Rfam family: Bacterial small subunit ribosomal RNA
Source: RNAcentral
AUGAACGCUGGCGGCGUGCCUAAUACAUGCAAGUCGAGCGAACAGACGAGGAGCUUGCUCCUCUGACGUUAGCGGCGGACGGGUGAGUAACACGUGGAUAACCUACCUAUAAGACUGGGAUAACUUCGGGAAACCGGAGCUAAUACCGGAUAAUAUAUUGAACCGCAUGGUUCAAUAGUGAAAGACGGUUUUGCUGUCACUUAUAGAUGGAUCCGCGCCGCAUUAGCUAGUUGGUAAGGUAACGGCUUACCAAGGCAACGAUGCGUAGCCGACCUGAGAGGGUGAUCGGCCACACUGGAACUGAGACACGGUCCAGACUCCUACGGGAGGCAGCAGUAGGGAAUCUUCCGCAAUGGGCGAAAGCCUGACGGAGCAACGCCGCGUGAGUGAUGAAGGUCUUCGGGUCGUAAAACUCUGUUAUUAGGGAAGAACAAAUGUGUAAGUAACUAUGCACGUCUUGACGGUACCUAAUCAGAAAGCCACGGCUAACUACGU